UAUGUGAUCGUCUCUCGCAUAUCAAUAAGCGGAGGAAAAGAAACUAGCAAGGAUUCCCUUAGUAACGGCGAGUGAAGCGGGAAGAGCUCAAAUUUGAAAUCUUCAAGGUUUUACCUUGACGAAUUGUAGUUUAAAGAAGUGUUUUCUGUUGAAGUUUUGGUAAAAGUUCUUUGGAAUAGGACAUCAUAGAGGGUGAGAAUCCCGUAUUUGACCAUUAUUUUCAGCUGUGUGAUACACUUUCAAAGAGUCGGAUUGUUUGGGAAUGCAGUCCAAAAUGGGUGGUAAAUUUCAUCUAAAGCUAAAUAUUGGCGAGAGACCGAUAGCGAACAAGUACCGUGAGGGAAAGAUGAAAAGAACUUUGAAAAGAGAGUUAAACAGUACGUGAAAUUGUCAAAAGGGACGCGUUUGACACCAGUGUUGUUUUCUCGAAAAUCAAUUAAAAAGAGUUUGAUUUUGUUGUGUAUUGACCUUAACAGCUUGCAUUUCAAUUUUCUUGCUUUUUUUAAUGCACUUUUCGUUUAACAAGUCAACAUCAGUUUCUUUUGUUGUAAAAAGGUCAUUGGAAGGUGGCUUUCUUUUCGGAGAAAGUGUUUAUAGCCUUUGACUCCUGCAAUCGGAGAGACUGAGGUCUGCAGCGUAGAUCCUUCGGGGUUAGAUACAUUUGUGCUAAGUUAUAGCUUUUAUAGACAACUUGUUGACUAUGAUUAGUCUUGUAGCUUACUCGCUUAUGCUAUUUUACCUACGCUUAGGAUGUUGAAGAUGUAGCACAUCAU
RNAcentral lists this ribosomal RNA (773 nucleotides) under uncultured Neocallimastigales. RNAcentral describes it as "partial large subunit ribosomal RNA". It matches the Rfam family "Eukaryotic large subunit ribosomal RNA", at positions 24 to 620 of the family's 3401-position model. The record is from RNAcentral. Lineage: Eukaryota; Fungi; Neocallimastigomycota; Neocallimastigomycetes; Neocallimastigales.